AGAGUUUGAUCAUGGCUCAGAUUGAACGCUGGCGGCAGGCCUAACACAUGCAAGUCGAGCGGAAACAGAGAGUAACUUGUUACUUUGCUGUCGAGCGGCGGACGGGUGAGUAAUGCUUGGGAAACUGCCCAGUCGAGGGGGACAACCAUUGGAAACGAUGGCUAAUACCGCAUACGCCCUACGGGGGAAAGAAGGGGACUCUUCGGAGCCUUUCGCGAUUGGAUGUGCCCAAGUGGGAUUAGCUAGUUGGUGAGGUAAAGGCUCACCAAGGCGACGAUCCCUAGCUGGUUUGAAAGGAUGAUCAGCCACACUGGAACUGAGACACGGUCCAGACUCCUACGGGAGGCAGCAGUGGGGAAUAUUGCACAAUGGGCGCAAGCCUGAUGCAGCCAUGCCGCGUGUAUGAAGAAGGCCUUCGGGUUGUAAAGUACUUUCAGCGAGGAGGAAAGGGUAUAGCUUAAUACGCUGUAUCUGUGACGUUACUCGCAGAAGAAGGACCGGCUAACUCCGUGCCAGCAGCCGCGGUAAUACGGAGGGUCCGAGCGUUAAUCGGAAUUACUGGGCGUAAAGCGUACGCAGGCGGUUUGUUAAGCGAGAUGUGAAAGCCCCGGGCUCAACCUGGGAACUGCAUUUCGAACUGACAAACUAGAGUUUUGUAGAGGGUGGUAGAAUUUCAGGUGUAGCGGUGAAAUGCGUAGAGAUCUGAAGGAAUACCAGUGGCGAAGGCGGCCACCUGGACAAUAACUGACGCUCAUGUACGAAAGCGUGGGGAGCAAACGGGAUUAGAUACCCCGGUAGUCCACGCCGUAAACGAUGUCAACUAGCCGACUGGCGCCUUGAGCGCUGGGUGGCGCAGCUAACGCAUUAAGUUGACCGCCUGGGGAGUACGGCCGCAAGGUUAAAACUCAAAUGAAUUGACGG
This 921-nucleotide ribosomal RNA is filed under the name uncultured bacterium. Its description in RNAcentral is "bacterial SSU rRNA". It matches the Rfam family "Bacterial small subunit ribosomal RNA", at positions 8 to 916 of the family's 1533-position model. The record is from RNAcentral.